This 78-nucleotide transfer RNA is filed under the name Oscillospiraceae bacterium. RNAcentral describes it as "tRNA-His". It matches the Rfam family "tRNA". Rfam says of the family: Transfer RNA (tRNA) molecules are approximately 80 nucleotides in length. Their secondary structure includes four short double-helical elements and three loops (D, anti-codon, and T loops). Further hydrogen bonds mediate the characteristic L-shaped molecular structure. tRNAs have two regions of fundamental functional importance: the anti-codon, which is responsible for specific mRNA codon recognition, and the 3' end, to which the tRNAs corresponding amino acid is attached (by aminoacyl-tRNA synthetases). tRNAs cope with the degeneracy of the genetic code in two manners: having more than one tRNA (with a specific anti-codon) for a particular amino acid; and 'wobble' base-pairing, i.e. permitting non-standard base-pairing at the 3rd anti-codon position. RNAcentral also lists the same sequence under 1 other name. The record is from RNAcentral. Lineage: Bacteria; Bacillati; Bacillota; Clostridia; Eubacteriales; Oscillospiraceae.
GUGGGUGUAGCUCAGCUUGGUUAGAGCGUCAGGUUGUGGCCCUGAAGGCCGUCGGUUCGAAUCCGAUCAUCCACCCCA